RNAcentral lists this non-coding RNA (130 nucleotides) under Hirschia baltica. RNAcentral's name for it is "TPP sequence". It matches the Rfam family "TPP riboswitch aptamer (THI element)". Rfam says of the family: Vitamin B(1) in its active form thiamin pyrophosphate (TPP) is an essential coenzyme that is synthesised by coupling of pyrimidine and thiazole moieties in bacteria. The previously detected thiamin-regulatory element, thi box was extended, resulting in a new, highly conserved RNA secondary structure, the THI element, which is widely distributed in eubacteria and also occurs in some archaea. RNAcentral also lists the same sequence under 1 other name. Lineage: Bacteria; Pseudomonadati; Pseudomonadota; Alphaproteobacteria; Hyphomonadales; Hyphomonadaceae. The record is from RNAcentral.
AGCCAUUCCGAGGGGCGCGUAUGGUUAAGCGCUGAGAUGGGGACAAUACCUCCCUAGCACCCUUUGAACCUGAUCUGGAAAGCGGGCAAUAACGCCCUCAACCAGCGUAGGAACGGAGCGAAACGGGUGA